Molecule: long non-coding RNA, 894 nt
Organism: Apteryx haastii (Great spotted kiwi)
Lineage: Eukaryota; Metazoa; Chordata; Aves; Apterygiformes; Apterygidae
Source: Ensembl
AUGUCUGUAUGCCCAAGGGAAGUGUUUCACAGAAGAGAGGAGUUUUUCAAGCUGAUCAAGGAAGCCCCAGGAGGCUGUUUAAUUCAAAUACUCCCCACAAAUUGCCCCAAGUGUCCUGGCUGCAGAAUGCUAUACAGGAAUGAAAACAAAGACAUCCAAGCCUUGAGCCAUUUAGAAGAGGAAGAAGCCAAAAUCCAUGCCAGAGGUUCGACUGCUGGGUUUACUUAUGGCUUCAGGCACAAAUUAAUGACCUUCAAACAGUACAGUGAUAUCGUCUUGAGCCCYCUACUCAGCCAAUCUGCUUUGCUCUCAGCUGCUGAACCAUGUCUGAUCACCCCCUUUGAAGGGGAACGUGUGAUGUUGAGGAGCAAUGAGAUGUUUGCAGAGCCAUUUGUAGAAAGAGAAGACCAUCAGGUGGAACAAGGAAGCUGUUUUCUGCAGGAGGAGCCUGAAGCCAAGUAUCAAUUUGUUUUGAAACUGAAAUCCAGAGAUACAUUUCACUUGCCCAUCAUUUGGAGGGUUCAUCUGUGUCACUCAGAAGUGGAAAAGGAUGGGGACAGACACCUGGUGGGAGAAGGGCAGAGAGAAGAGGUGGCUGGAGGAGGCAGCAAUAGUAAGGAUGGAGUGAGCAACAACCAAGUGCUUUGGCGGCCACUGCUAGCAGAGCCAGGAGGGAGAAAUAAAGCCAUGUUCAAGCAGCUGGGCAGAACAAUUGUCAACUAUGCUGAGAAGGCAACAUUUACAACCCCGGUUUGCAAUAUGGGACUACAUCGAGAUCCCCAACUGUACCUCUCACUGAAGGCCCAUAGGAAAAUCCAGAGAGGUGUCAUAUCACUAAAAGAAGAAUACUGGGAAGAGGGAAAAGGUUUAACAAGGAUGAACUGGGUGAGCUGA